Molecule: ribosomal RNA, 451 nt
Filed under: uncultured bacterium
Lineage: Bacteria
Description: bacterial SSU rRNA
Rfam family: Bacterial small subunit ribosomal RNA
Source: RNAcentral
GAGCGGUAACAGGUGUAGCAAUACAUGCUGACGAGCGGCGAACGGGUGAGUAAUGCUUUGGAAUCUUCCCAGUAGUGGGGAAUAACCAGUCGAAAGAUUGGCUAAUACCGCAUACGUCGGAAACGGGAAAGCGGGGGAUCGUAAGACCUCGCGCUAUUGGAUGAGCCAAAGUCGGAUUAGCUAGUUGGUGAGGUAACGGCUCACCAAGGCGACAAUCCGUAGCUGGUCUGAGAGGACGACCAGCCACACCGGAACUGAGACACGGUCCGGACUCCUACGGGAGGCAGCAGUGGGGAAUAUUGGACAAUGGGGGAAACCCUGAUCCAGCGACGCCGCGUGUGUGAAGAAGGCCUGCGGGUUGUAAAGCACUUUUAGUGGGGACAAAAAGCNCGUGGACUAACACUUCGCGGUCUUGAUUUAACCCAAAGAAAAAGCACCGGCUAACUCUGUG